Long non-coding RNA from Oncorhynchus tshawytscha (Chinook salmon), 529 nucleotides. The record is from Ensembl. Lineage: Eukaryota; Metazoa; Chordata; Actinopteri; Salmoniformes; Salmonidae.
AUAGCCUCUGUGUAGGUCGACACAGCUCUGUGUAGGUCGAUAUAGCCUCUGUGUAGGUCGAUGUAGCUCUGUGUAGGUUGAUGUAGCUCUGUGUAGGUCGAUAUAGCCUCUGUGUAGGUCGAUGUAGCUCUGUGUAGGUCGACAUACAGAGUUAUAUCGACUCUCAGCUCAUCUCAUAACCCUCAGCUCAUCUCAUAACCCUCAUCUCAUAACCCUCAGAUCAUGUCAUAACCCUCAGCUCAUCUCAUAACCCUCAUCUCAUAACCCUCAGCUCAUCUCAUAACCCUCGUCUCAUAACCCUCAGCUCAUCUCAUAACCCUCGUCUCAUAACCCUCAGCUCAUCUCAUAACCCUCAUGUCAUAACCCUCAGCUCAUCUCAUAACCCUCGUCUCAUAACCCUCAGCUCAUCUCAGAACCCUCGUCUCAUAACCCUCAGCUCAUCUCAGAACCCUCGUCUCAUAACCCUCAGCUCAUCUCAUAACCCUCAUCUCAUAACCCUAAUCUCAUAACCCUCGUCUCAUAACCCUCA